RNAcentral lists this ribosomal RNA (320 nucleotides) under uncultured eukaryote. RNAcentral describes it as "partial 18S ribosomal RNA". It matches the Rfam family "Eukaryotic small subunit ribosomal RNA", at positions 1470 to 1796 of the family's 1831-position model. The record is from RNAcentral.
CCCUUAGAUGUUCUGGGCCGCACACGCGCUACACUGAAGGAGGCAGCGUGUACUCCUGGAUCGAAAGAUUUGGGUAACCCGCGAAUCUCCUUCGUGCUAGGGAUUGAGGUUUGCAAUUAUCCUUCAUGAACGAGGAAUUCCCAGUAAGUGCAAGUCAUAAGCUUGCGCUGACUACGUCCCUGCCCUUUGUACACACCGCCCGUCGCUCCUACCGAGUGGGUGAUCCGGUGAACUAUUCGGACUCCGGUUAUUCCAGCAUUUGGUUUUGCUGGGGAAAGUUUCGUGAACCUUAUCACUUGGAGGAAGGAGAAGUCGUAACA